UACGGGGGGAGCAAGCGUUGUUCGGAUUUACUGGGCGUAAAGGGCGCGUAGGCGGCCACGACAAGUCAGUUGUGAAAUCUCUGGGCUUAACUCAGAACGGUCAACUGAUACUGUCGGGCUAGAGUGCAGAAGGGGCAACUGGAAUUCUCGGUGUAGCGGUGAAAUGCGUAGAUAUCGAGAGGACCACCGGCGGCGAAGGCGGGUUGCUGGGCUGACACUGACGCUGAGGCGCGAAAGCUAGGGGAGCGAACGGG
Molecule: ribosomal RNA, 254 nt
Filed under: uncultured bacterium
Lineage: Bacteria
Description: partial 16S ribosomal RNA
Rfam family: Bacterial small subunit ribosomal RNA
Source: RNAcentral